Molecule: ribosomal RNA, 213 nt
Filed under: Escherichia coli
Lineage: Bacteria; Pseudomonadati; Pseudomonadota; Gammaproteobacteria; Enterobacterales; Enterobacteriaceae
Description: partial 23S ribosomal RNA
Rfam family: Bacterial large subunit ribosomal RNA
Source: RNAcentral
CAAAGUCAUGGUUAAGUGGGAAACGAUGUGGGAAGGCCCAGACAGCCAGGAUGUUGGCUUAGAAGCAGCCAUCAUUUAAAGAAAGCGUAAUAGCUCACUGGUCGAGUCGGCCUGCGCGGAAGAUGUAACGGGGCUAAACCAUGCACCGAAGCUGCGGCAGCGACGCUUAUGCGUUGUUGGGUAGGGGAGCGUUCUGUAAGCCUGUGAAGGUGU